GGACUGGACCCAAAGGCAAGCGAUAUUCACCUACUGUAAAUGCAGCUAUCUCAAAUGAAGAGGUCUAUAUUACCAACAGCAAUGAGAACCAAAAGUUUUCUUUAACUCAUGAGGAAUUUACCAAGCUUUUAGCACUUGCUAAUUCAAAUCCUUCACUGCCUCAAACAAACCUCACACCAGCUGUGAAUCUUGCCACUUCUCAUUUCUCUGGACCAAUCAGCAAAGAGGAUGAUUGGGAUUGCUCAUGAAAAACAUGGACUUUACCACUUCAAACAA
Carya illinoinensis is the source of this 276-nucleotide long non-coding RNA. RefSeq lists it as uncharacterized. Lineage: Eukaryota; Viridiplantae; Streptophyta; Magnoliopsida; Fagales; Juglandaceae. The transcript is spliced from 2 exons. The record is from RefSeq and is a predicted model, not a curated record.